RNAcentral lists this ribosomal RNA (512 nucleotides) under Proctoporus sucullucu. RNAcentral's name for it is "partial 16S ribosomal RNA". It matches the Rfam family "Bacterial large subunit ribosomal RNA", at positions 1823 to 2613 of the family's 2925-position model. Lineage: Eukaryota; Metazoa; Chordata; Lepidosauria; Squamata; Gymnophthalmidae. The record is from RNAcentral.
UUGCCUUUAGCUUAAAGUAUUAAAGGUAACGCCUGCCCAGUGAUAAAUUAAACGGCCGCGGGAUCCUCCACCGUGCAAAGGUAGCAUAAUCACUUGUCCCCUAAAUAGUGACUAGUAUGAAUGGCCAAAUGAAGAUUUUACUGUCUCUUGUAGCCGAUCUAUGAAACUAAUCUAUCAGUACAAAAACUGAUAUUCUUACAUAAGACGAAAAGACCCUGUGGAACUUUAAGCACAACCCAUCUAAUGAUAUUACUGCUUUUAGUUGGGGCAACUUUGGAAAUAAACAAAACUUCCAAUCACCUAACGAGAUAAACAUAUCUAUAUACACCAGACCCAGCAUACGCUGACCAAAGAACCAAGCUACCCCAGGGAUAACAGCGCUAUCCCCUCCUAGAGCCCAAAUCGACGAGCGGGGUUUACGACCUCGAUGUUGGAUCAGGGCCCCCAAACAGUGCAACCGCUGUUAAAGGUUUGUUUGUUCAACAAUUAAAGCCCUUCGUGAUCUGAGUUCA